Molecule: long non-coding RNA, 2374 nt
Filed under: Homo sapiens (human)
Lineage: Eukaryota; Metazoa; Chordata; Mammalia; Primates; Hominidae
Description: HSALNT0357663
Source: RNAcentral
GACAGCACCCUUCUCGCCGGCCAGGCAUAACCAGAGGAGACCAGACUGCCAUCGCAAUGCACCCGGAUGGUUCUGCACAUGGCCCUGGUGGGGGGCAUGGGGGUCGGGCUGAGGAGGAGGCGAGACUCACGGGACAGGCCUGCGUCUGGUCCAGGAUGUCCAGGGUGCCGACACUUUCACUAUCACAGGCGCAGUGGAAGGUGAUGGCCCUGUGAGUAAGGCCCUGAAGUCUGCAGUAAGCCACUUUCCCUCAACGCUGUCUCCCUUCCCGAAGGGAAAGCCACAGCCCUGGCUAAUGUUGGAGGAAGGGGAGGCCUGGACAGCUGCCUGAACCCAAGCUGGGCUCUGUGGGGCUGUGGGGCCAGCAGACGUGGGAUGUGAGCCACACUGGUAAUUUCAAUCUUCUAGUACAUGUUAGGAGGUGAUAUGGUUUGGAUGUGUGUCCCCACCCAAAUCUCAUGUGGAAUUGUAAUUCCCAGUGUUGGAGGUGGGGCCAGGUGGGAGGUGUUUGGAUCAUGGGAGCAGAUCCCUCAUGAGUGGCUUGGGCCAUCCCCGUGGUGAUAAGUGAGCUUUUGCUCUGAGUUCACACGAGGUCUGGUCAUUUAAAAGUGUGUGGCACCACCCUCCACUCCCUCUCUCUUGCUCCUGCUUUCGCCAUGUGAAGUGCCUGCUCCCCGUUCGCCUUCCAACAUGACUGGAGGCUCCUUGAGGCCUCCCUGGAAGCCGAGCAGAUGCCAGCACCACACUUCUUGUAAAGCCUCCAGAACCGUGAGCCAACUAAAUCUCUUUUCUUUGUAAAUUACCCAGCUUCAGGUAUUUCUUUAUAGCAACACAAGAAUGGCCUAAUACAGAGGGGAAAAUGAAACAGGUGAAAUUAGCAUUAAUAACACAUUUUAUUGAACUCAAUAUAUCUAAAUUACUAUUUGUCAACAUGCAAUCAAUGUAAAAGUUAUAAUGAGGCCCUGUACACACCUAUUUCGUAUAAAGUGCCUGCCAUCUGGAGCCUCUUUUCUAUUGCCCAUGCCUCCCAGCCAUGGUCAUGUGUAGCUUGGGGAUCCCCUAUUGGACAGGCUCAAAAAGAAGCACCCCAUCACUGUCCCCCAGGGCACCCCAUCAGAUCUCUGAACAAGUGCUCAGAACCCCUCCACCUAAAGGCUGCCCAGGAUGAGGGGGAUGGCAAAUGUGAAGACUCCCCCGCCCAACCUGCACACCAAGGCUUACUUCUGAAUGGACUUGCUGUCACUGAUGGGCACGUGAGAACUCGGCAGACAGUCUUCCUUCAUCUUCUCUUCCUCUUGUCUGCAGACCUAGAAGUUACUUGCUGGGAAGACAAGGAAGGGUGGACAGACAGGUGAGCCAGAGGAGUGCCGGCCAGUGCAGCACCCAACACCCGCAGCCCUGGCACAGACACCGUCGGCCUUGGCAUCACACCGCCUUGGCACAAGGUGGCUGCGGCUGAAAGGGUCUGGCCCAGACCCACAUGGCCACAUGUCAGUCAAGCUGCCUUGGUUGGGCAAGGUCAUGCUGAGCCAGUGACACUGGUCCUUUCAGCCGCCCACCCCAGAAGACUCUCCAUAAUCCCCAGGAAUCCAGAUCCAUCUCCUAAGCAUUUUAGAUCACAUGCUCCCUUCCCUUGGCAGGGACAGCCUGACUACUGGCUUCUGCCUCGGUUGCUCCUGCAAUCCUCCAGAGCUACCCUGGGCCUCUCUCCUGCCUUCCCGCUCAGCCAGGCAGUGGCCCAUCACUGGCUGUCCUGGCAGUGGGUUAGUCGGCACUGUGUUCCCUAUGUGCUGUAAAUGGUUGGCAUCUUCUCUGAGUUAUCUCCUCCAGUCCCUACAACGAUAUUGUGAGGUGAGUAUCACCAUAUUCCCAUUUUACAGAUGAGAAGACAGGGACAAGAGCUUAAGCACUUUGCCCAAGAUUACCAGCAAGUAAGCAGAAAAGCCACUGUUCCAGCACAAGCAUUUGGACCCCUGAUUCUGGUCUCUUAGUACCUUCUCUAUAUUGAUCACGGGCAGUGACUUAAACUCCCAAACCUUCCUUUCCUCGUCUGUGCAACAAGGUAAUCUCAAGCCCACAGGAUCAUUAGUGGAUCCACACACACGCGGUUCACACACACUGUUCCACACACAUACUAUUCCCUCUUUCCACACACAGCCUUGAUUGGUUUGAGGAGCCGCUCCUGCCCUCCCCAGGUUUCUUUCACGGACAGUAAAUCCACCAGAGCUUUCUCGAACCUGUUGGCAUCUGCACAGCUUCCUGUUCCUCUCUCUCCCCCAUGUCAAUGUGGCCAAGGACUCUUAUCAAGGCCUCCUACAUGCUAGGCAGGGAGGUAAAGCUUCACACACACAUACAUACACACACACACACACAC